Molecule: ribosomal RNA, 465 nt
Filed under: uncultured bacterium
Lineage: Bacteria
Description: bacterial SSU rRNA
Rfam family: Bacterial small subunit ribosomal RNA
Source: RNAcentral
CCUACGGGAGGCAGCAGUGGGGAAUUUUGGACAAUGGGGGCAACCCUGAUCCAGCCAUUCCGCGUGAGUGAAGAAGGCCUUCGGGUUGUAAAGCUCUUUCGCAAGGGAAGAAAAGAUAUAGGUGAAUAGCUUAUGUUGAUGACGGUACCUUGACAAGAAGCACCGGCUAACUACGUGCCAGCAGCCGCGGUAAUACGUAGGGUGCAAGCGUUAAUCGGAAUUACUGGGCGUAAAGCGUGCGCAGGCUGUUUUGUAAGUCAGAUGUGAAAUCCCCGAGCUCAACUUGGGAACUGCGUUUGAAACUACAAGACUAGAAUAGGUCAGAGGGGGGUAGAAUUCCACGUGUAGCAGUGAAAUGCGUAGAGAUGUGGAGGAAUACCAAUGGCGAAGGCAGCCCCCUGGGAUCAUAUUGACGCUCAUGCACGAAAGCGUGGGGAGCGAACAGGAUUAGAUACCCCGGUAGUC